ACGAAUUACAAAGUCGGCCUUGCUGUUGCUGGUGGAAACACAUGUGCACGCUCGGUUGCAAAUCCACACACCUGUGCAUCUAUGACCCGAGGUUGUCGUCGUAUGACCGAGGGUAACUUUACACACUCUUGAAUGUAACAGAAUGUCUCUUGUGCAUAAUGUACAAUUAAA
Molecule: unclassified non-coding RNA, 171 nt
Filed under: uncultured Sebacinaceae
Lineage: Eukaryota; Fungi; Basidiomycota; Agaricomycetes; Sebacinales; Sebacinaceae
Description: sequence contains ITS1
Source: RNAcentral